This 3213-nucleotide long non-coding RNA is filed under the name Homo sapiens (human). RNAcentral's name for it is "HSALNT0186095". Lineage: Eukaryota; Metazoa; Chordata; Mammalia; Primates; Hominidae. The record is from RNAcentral.
GGGCAAUCUACUCGGCUCCUCUUCCACGCUGUGGAGGCUUUGUUCUUUCCUUCUUCACAAUAGAUCUUGCUGCUGCUCACUCUGUGGGUCCGCACUACAUUUAUGAGCUGUAACACUCACUGCGAAGGUCUGCAGCUUCACUUCUGAAGUCAGCAAGACCACGAACCCACCGGGAAGAAAAAACAACUCCAGACGCACCACCUUUAAGAGCUAUAACGCUCACUGCGAAGGUCUGCGGCUUCACUCCUGAAGUCAAGCGAACCCACUGGAAGGAAGAAACUCAGGAACAUCUGAAGGAACAAGCUCCAGACACACCAUCUUUAAGAACUGUAACACUCACCACGAGGGUCCGUGACUUCAUUCUUGAAGUCAGCGAGACCAAGAACCCACUGGAAGGAACAAUUCCGGACACACUGAAAAGGCAAGUGACACACAGAAGGGAAGCAACUUAUCCAAGAUCUCAAUUGUUAGUGGAAGAAGCUGGCUGUCAACCGAAGUCAGUGUGAGAUGACCUCAGGCUCUUUUAACAUUGAAGAUAUAAAGAUAAACAAGAUAGACAUAAAGUGUCUGGCCUCAUGAAGUUCUGCUAGAAGAGAGAAGCAUAUACAAAUAAAAUAAUAAAAAGGUAGUUAAAAAUGUGAUACCAGAUCUGUGAAGAAAAUGAAAGGGAUAUUGUGUUAAUAAAUUGCAGUAGGAAGAUCAUUCUUGAAUGAUCCAGACACAUCAUGAGCUUUUCAUCCUGACGAGAUUAGUGAAAAAGCCCAAGAAAGAAGAUGACCAAGAAGGAAACAAAAAGGGUUUGAUGUUUUAAGGAACAGAAUGAAGCCCUGUGAAUGAUAUAAAAUGAGAUGGGAGACCAGGCAAGAAAUCUACUUAUGUGAGUAAAUGGAGAUCAUGGUUUGGAGUUUGGAUUUUACUCUAACCAAAACAGGAAUUCAUUAAAAUUGGAUAUCCAUAAGCAGAAGAAGGAAACAGGGCUCCUACCUCUCAUCACAUACAAAAAAUCAAAUAAAAAGGGACGGAAGACUUAAAUAUAAGACCCAAAACUAUGAAACUACUAGAAGAAAACAUAAGGGAAACACUUCAGGCCAUUGGUCAGGGGAAAGCUUUUAUGAAGAAGACCUCAAAAACACAGAAAACAAAAAUAGACAAAUGAGAUUAUAUCAAACUGAAAAGCUUCUGCACAACAAAGGAAAUAAUCAACAAAGUGAAGAGACAACACACAGAAUGGGAGAAAACAUUUGCAAACUAUUCAUCCGACAGGGGUUAAAAACCAGACUAUACAAGAAACAAACAACUCAACAGCAAAAAUAAAUAAAUAAUAAUAAUAAUAAUAAUCUUGCCUGUAAUCCCGGCACUUUUGGAGGCCAAGGUGGGCGGAUCACGAGGUCAGGAGAUCAAGACCAUCCUGACUAACGCGGUGAAACCCCGUCUCUACUAAAAAAAAAAAAAAUGCAAAAAAUUAGCCCGGCGUAGUGGCAGGCGCCUGUAGUCCCAGCUACUCGGGAGGCUGAGGCAGGAGAAUGGCGUGAACCCAGGAGGCGGAGCUUGCAGUGAGCGGAGAUCGCGCCACUGCACUCCAGCCUGGGCGACAAAGCGAGACUCCGUCUCAAAAUACUAAUAAUAAUAAUAUCAUCAUCAUCAUCUUAUUUUAAAGUGAGCAAAUAAGCUGAACAGACAUUUCUCAUAAAAAGCGAUACAGAUGGCCAAGAAGCCCAUGAAAAAAUGUGCUACAUUAUGAAUCAUCAGGAAAAUGCAAAUCAAAACCACAAUGAGAUGUUAUUUCAUCCCCAUUUGAACGGCUAUAAUCAAAAAGACCAAAAAAUAACAAAUGCUGGUAAGGAUGUGGAGAAAAGGGAACUCUUACAUAUUGUUGGUGGGAAUGUAAAUUAGUUCAUCUAUUAUGAAAAAUGGUAUGAAGGUUCUUCAAAAAACUAAAAACAGAACUAACAUGUGAUCCAGCAAUCCUGUUACUGGGUAUGUAUCCAAAAAAAAAAAAAAAAAGGGACAUAAGUAUGUCAAAGACAUAUCGCUACUCCUGUGUUGAUUGCAGCACUAUUUGCAAUAGCCAAGAUAUGGAAACAAUCUAAGUGUCCAUCAAUGGAUGAAUAGAUAAAGAAUAGUGAAAUAUAUAGACACAAUGGAAUACUAUUCAGCCAUAAAGAACAAAAUCCUGUCACUUGAAGGAACAAGAAUGAGCUUGGAGGACAUUAAGUGAAAUAAACUGACUAAAAAUAAUAAUAAAAGCAAAAAAGAAAGACAUACCACACAUUCUCAUUCAUGUGGAUUAUAACAGCUGAUCUCAUAAAAGUUAAGAGUAGAAUAGUAAAGAGUAGAAUAGAUUACUAGAGGCUGGGAAGGAUAGUGGGGAGAGGGCAUAAGCAGAAAUUUAUUAACGGAUGCAAAAUUGCAGCUAAAUAGGAUUAAGUUCUAUUACAGUCACCCUACAGUGUUUUAUAGCACUGUAAGAUGACUAUAAUGAACAAUUUACUAUAUAUUUUCAAAUAGCCAGAAAAUCGGAUUUUGAAUGUUCUCAACACAAAGAAAUAAUAAAUGUUUGGAUGGAUAUGCUAAUUACCCUAAUUUGAUCAUUACACAUUGUAUACAUGUAUCAAAAUACUACACUGUACCCCCAUAAGUAUGUACAAUUGUUCUGUGUCAACUAAAAAUAAUAAUAAAAGCAAAAAAGAAUUCCUCAAAAAAAAAAAAACCACAAACAGGAAUCCAUUGAAGGGGUCUAAAUAUGGUCUCUGGGCCAGGAGGUGAACAGACUGCGGGGAGAAAAGUGAAAGUAGGAGUACCAACAGGAGGCCACUGCCAUUGUGAAGGCCAUGUAGAGGAGACAGGUGGACAAUUUAAGAUGUAUUCUUGAGGUAAAGCAGACAGUGCACCUUUCAAGUAAAUGCGUGAGCACCAUGAUGCUGAGAAGCUAUUUUCCCAGUGAACCAGGAAGUGAGGUAGGUAGAUGAGUCACCCAAGCGGGUGGGGAAGGAGGUGGUUGAAAUUGAUUUGUAUAUUUAUUUUAUAAAGUAAAUGAAUUAAGAGAAAAAAAUUGGAUCCUGAAUCUGAACUUAUUUACAAAUUAUUAUACCUUACCAAAAAGGUCUUUUAUGGACAAUACUAUAAAGACGGUAAUGUUUACUUUUAGCAUUACCAUCCACACCUUUAAAAUUAUUAAUAAUUUGUGAGAGUUUGCUGUAUACUAAGUACCCU